UGCAGGUGAUGUCUAUUCUCACGAUGGUCUUCCAAGCCCUUGGGGUUUUGACGACAGUGCCUUAUGGCUUUACUGAUGCUUCCUC
This is a small nucleolar RNA of Pygocentrus nattereri (red-bellied piranha), 85 nucleotides long. Ensembl annotates it as Small nucleolar RNA SNORD35. The record is from Ensembl. NCBI's taxonomy places the organism in Eukaryota, Metazoa, Chordata, Actinopteri, Characiformes, Serrasalmidae.